Molecule: unclassified non-coding RNA, 26 nt
Filed under: Mus musculus (house mouse)
Lineage: Eukaryota; Metazoa; Chordata; Mammalia; Rodentia; Muridae
Description: oocyte_clustered_small_RNA10650
Source: RNAcentral
AUGAGUAUCAAGCAAAUGGGCCAGAA